GGAAAUGCCUGAUAACAUACAUCUGCAGUUAUUUGUGGCAAAAGACAAGGCAAAUAGGCAAAUAUUCGGUAUUACAAAAAAUGCACAGAUUUCAAAGGACAAGUAUAGGUGGAUUUACAUGCCCACAUCUUUUGAGGUCUUUCUUCUUUGAGAGGAAAGGGAGAGACCCUGGUUAGGCCAGAAAUCCAUGGAGAGGAGUUUUCUUCCUCUUCUGCCUUCCACUGUGACCAAUGAGUGGAACAAGAAUGAUGACCGGCUACUGCAGGCCGUGGAGAAUGGAGAUGUGGAGAAGGUGGCCUCACUGCUCGGCAAGAAGGGGGCCAGUGCCACCAAACACGACAGUGAGGGCAAGACCGCUUUCCAUCUUGCUGCUGCAAAAGGACACGUGGAAUGCCUCAGGGUCAUGGUUACACAUGGUGUGGAUGUGACAGCCCAAGAUACUACCGGACACAGCGCCUUACAUCUCGCAGCCAAGAACAGCCACCAUGAAUGCAUCAGGAAGCUCCUUCAGUCUAAAUGCCCAGCCGAAAGUGUUGACAGCUCUGGGAAAACAGCUUUACAUUAUGCAG
This 569-nucleotide small RNA is filed under the name Pan troglodytes (chimpanzee). RNAcentral describes it as "processed transcript". Lineage: Eukaryota; Metazoa; Chordata; Mammalia; Primates; Hominidae. The record is from RNAcentral.